GACCCUUCUCACAUUGAAGCCGCUUAGCUUUCUGGCCCCGAUGGCUUUAGACAAGAAUGUGGACAAUUUUGAGAAACUCCAUGCAAUCUAAGAGGGGUACUCGACAUACCAUAACGGUGAGUGCUUGGCGAUAUUAUCUGUGUCUUUGUUUGUUUGAUCGAUUAAUUUAGUUGAGAAAUGCUAUAGUGAUCACUGUCUUGGUGUUAUUGGAAUGGGUUAAGCAAUGCUCUUAAUCCCUUGUGGGUUCUAUAUCUUGGUUUUGUUGGAUUGAAUUGAGAAAUGGUAUUUAUUAUUAAAUAUGGUUGUGCCUUGGUUUUAUUCAGUUAAAUUGAGGAAUGCUAUUGUGGACCCUCACCCGAUCCACCGAUCGGCGCGACUUGCGAAUUAAAACAAAUGAUGUGGAGAAAAAGUGGUUUUCAAGUUUUAGAAAAUCUAUCCUAACGAGGGAAGAUUUUUGUUUGGAGUCGCCACUUACUUUUUAUUUUAUUUUUGAAAUGGGGAAAAUAAAGUAAGAACAAAAACCCCUCAAUGACUCCAGUUAGGAAAAAACGGUCGGCGAAAUUAGAUUUCUUGGUCCAGGGAUCAGGUUACCUAUCAGGAAGGUACCUCAUACGAGGUAGCAUCCCUCUAGGCUCGGAAUCUGGUCUCUACUAGUAAAUUGGGUACAUUGGAGCAUAUGGGUCGAAGAGUAGUCAACUUCUCCCUCAGGCUACAUGAAUGGCAAGACUUGCAAUUCUAGUUCGUAUUCGGCACACAUAGGAAAUUAAUGACCAAAACAAAGUUGCAUACCUGAGGUCCCUAGCCGUGUGCUGCAAGAAAGGGUUAGUCAAUAAGCACAAGCACACAAUAUAUGCAAAUUCCAAAUUUACCAAAAUUUCUAGCCAUGACUAAACCAUAUAUAUGUAAUCUCUAGGCUCUACCCAAUGGCCCCCAAGCGCAACCAUGACUCUGGACUACGUGACUAAAAUUUAGUUACUCUCAUUCCCUUAGCUUUCAGCUGAGGACUAACAUCUUUCUCGUUUGAAUUUCAUCCCUCC
RNAcentral lists this long non-coding RNA (1037 nucleotides) under Vitis vinifera (wine grape). Its description in RNAcentral is "long non-coding RNA (VVIN_LNC007033)". Lineage: Eukaryota; Viridiplantae; Streptophyta; Magnoliopsida; Vitales; Vitaceae. The record is from RNAcentral.